UUGAGGGGAUAAACUUUGGGCUCGGAUAAAGCCUGUUUAGGAUACUCGUUUAAGUGAGGAAAUGUGUUAAUAUAUAAAUUCAUUUCCUUUAUUUCUUUUCUCCCCCAAACCCCAUCGCCGAUUCACCCGACUCUUCACCCAACCCGAACACCUUCUUCCCGGAUCUCCCCAACUCCUCUCGACCUCUCUUUCUCGCGGACGAAGCACAGCCGGGGGUUCCGGUGAUCGUCGACCUCGACGGAAACUAGUGGGGUCACCGGAGCUUGACGGUGCCGAGGAGCUGGAUCUGAUCAGGGGGUUCUGUCCGGCGGAUUUGGAAGCCGAUCUCCUCCUACGCGACCCUCUCCUUCCUCGAUCUCUCUAGCCUUCGUCGCCGAUCCUGAGGAACUCAUCGCUGGAUCUCGACGGUGCCAAGGAAGACCGGGCUGCCUUCGGCCGAAGGGUCUCUGCUCCGGUGGUGCUUGCGGCCGAUCGCCGAAGGUGCGGCGGCUAGGGCACGGUGAAGGACCAGAUCUUGCGUCGACUCCCAACCAAUCGCCUACCGAAGCUUGGAGAGGUGCCCUAGUCCGGAUCUGUAUCACUCGAUCGCCGGCGUGGGUUUUGGUUGGAGAUGAUGGGAUCAAUUGAGUUGCCGAGCAAAGGCUUGAAGGUUUAUUGUGUGAUCCGUGAUCUCCAUUGAUUGAACCCUUCUUGAUCCGAUCAGGAGGUGAGGUCUGUGCUUGCUGUGGAGUUUCUUUGGUUCCGGCAGCUACUCCAUCGAGCAGAACACUUUGUUCCAGCAUCAAUAGGGGGCUGUGAGGUUAAGGACUCUGAUUAGAGACAGGCGUCUCGACCUUGGAUUGCUUGAUUGUACCUUCUAUUGGAG
This is a long non-coding RNA of Zingiber officinale, 865 nucleotides long. RefSeq lists it as uncharacterized. NCBI's taxonomy places the organism in Eukaryota, Viridiplantae, Streptophyta, Magnoliopsida, Zingiberales, Zingiberaceae. The transcript is spliced from 3 exons. The record is from RefSeq and is a predicted model, not a curated record.